Molecule: unclassified non-coding RNA, 236 nt
Filed under: plant metagenome
Description: partial contains small subunit ribosomal RNA, internal transcribed spacer 1, and 5.8S ribosomal RNA
Source: RNAcentral
UUUCCGUAGGUGAACCUGCGGAAGGAUCAUUACUGAGUGAGGGCCCCUCGGGGUCCAACCUCCCACCCGUGUUUAACGAACCUUGUUGCUUCGGCGGGCCCGCCUCACGGCCGCCGGGGGGCAUCUGCCCCCGGGCCCGCGCCCGCCGAAGCCACCUGUGAACGCUGUCUGAAGUAUGCAGUCUGAGACAAUUAUUAAAUUAAUUAAAACUUUCAACAACGGAUCUCUUGGCUCUC